This is a long non-coding RNA of Oncorhynchus tshawytscha (Chinook salmon), 1524 nucleotides long. RefSeq lists it as uncharacterized. The transcript has 3 exons. The record is from RefSeq and is a predicted model, not a curated record. Lineage: Eukaryota; Metazoa; Chordata; Actinopteri; Salmoniformes; Salmonidae.
GCACCACAAAUAGUUCCUCAAUGUAUUUGAAAAAUCUUUCCAGCUCUCUCCCGUUUGACCACUCAGCGUGAAAGGGAGAAUGUUAUGCUCCGAUCCAGUGGAAGCGUCAUGAAAUAGGCCUACCUGAUUAGUUUUUAUCACGUGCAAAUAGCCUACAGCUGUGUCUGUCCCAAGCUCACUGGCACCGGAAACUCUGAGGGCCCAGAAUAUUUUUAACAAUGUUGCAAGUUUGCUAGAGGGAGCUUCAAGGCUGACUCAAGCCUAUGACCGGCAACUUCAGCAGAGUAAAGCCAGAAUCUGUGAAAGCCAAUAAGAGCAGGAGGAGGAUGGUCAGUCUGUGGAGAAGGACCCGGCUGGGAGGAAGUGCAGCGGGAGGCCAAGAGUUGACAACCAUCACGUCAGGCUCCCACGGGGAACUAACUGCAGUGGGGAGCCAAUGGGGCCUACAGUCAACCUAGCCUCCUGUAGGGACACCCCCAGAGAGUGACUGUACAGCUGAUGGCCCCCAUGGAACUACAGAACAGAAGUCUGGAGUCCAACUACUGUCUGGAGCCCAAACGGAGGCCCCCAAAAGGGGCAACAGAGAUUUAAUCCAGUGAGACCAAAGCAGUCGACAGAUUCCCAACUAGAAUCUACUACAGAGGGCUACACUGUCGACAGACAGUCACAGUUACAGCCACAACCUCAGCCACUCACUAGUGAUGGGUGUAAAAAAUGCUGUGUUCAGAAACGUUGCUAUAGUAUUCCUAUUUGGAAGUCUCACAGAAUAUUCCAAUAAAUGUCUUGGCAUUUCUCGGUUAUGUUGCAGUUUCAAGUUGUAUUAGCCGUAUGUACAGUAUACACAUGGUAUAUACCGUCCAACAAAAUGCACUUGCAGGUUCCUUCUCCACAAUGGUACAACCAAUAAGAAAUCAUAUUUAAAAAAUAAUACAAACUGUUUUGGACUGCAUUCCUUUGUCUGCUAGAGCCAAAUACAUCAAAUGUGCAUAUAUCAGUGCAUAAACAUGAGGCUCCACUGGAAUAGCAUGAACUACACCUGCUCUGUCUGACAUAACUAUCUGAAAUAAGUAUCACUCCAAAGAUUGACACAUGUUAGUGGCCAGAGCAUAACUGAACACUGCAGAUCCUCUUCCAUUUCCUACAUAAUACUCAAGCUAACUGCCAACUAACCACUGCAACCACAGAGAGCAAUUGUAAUGGUACCUUUUUGUAGGAACUAAUGGAGGGUACCACCAUUGCUUGUUGGCCAAAGCCUAUGGGAAAAUUAAUGUGGGGUUUUGUAGGGUUUUGGGAUAAAAGAGGAAAAUAAGACCUGUGGUAAACACAGGCUUAGGAGAUCUUAUUAGUUUUGUUCUAUGACAUCUCCAUCAGCUAAUGUCACUUCUUGUGAAUUUGAAACAUUUAUGUAAUCAAAAUAAGCACAUAAAGGGGAUAAAUGCUUCAUAAUUCAUAAAGGUCAUGUUAACUGACUGAUAUUACAAAAGUUUAUGAUCUAAGCCUGUGUUAACCUCAAACCUUAUUUUC